CCUACGGGAGGCAGCAGUGGGGAAUUUUGGACAAUGGGCGCAAGCCUGAUCCAGCAAUGCCGCGUGAGUGAAGAAGGCCUUCGGGUUGUAAAGCUCUUUUGUCAGGGAAGAAACGGUGAGGGCUAAUAUCCCUUGCUAAUGACGGUACCUGAAGAAUAAGCACCGGCUAACUACGUGCCAGCAGCCGCGGUAAU
RNAcentral lists this ribosomal RNA (194 nucleotides) under uncultured Duganella sp. Its description in RNAcentral is "partial 16S ribosomal RNA". It matches the Rfam family "Bacterial small subunit ribosomal RNA", at positions 338 to 524 of the family's 1533-position model. Lineage: Bacteria; Pseudomonadati; Pseudomonadota; Betaproteobacteria; Burkholderiales; Oxalobacteraceae. The record is from RNAcentral.